AGAGUUUGAUCAUGGCUCAGGACGAACGCUGGCGGCGCGCUUAACACAUGCAAGUCGAGCGAUAACCAUGGCUUCGGCCAUGGGGAGAGCGGCGAACGGGUGAGUAACACGUGAGCGAUCUGCCCUCGACACUGGGAUAGCCCGGGGAAACCCGGAUUAAUACCGGAUAGCCUCUCGGGUCUACGGGCCCGUGAGAAAAGAUGGCUUCGGCUUUCGGUUGAGGAGGAGCUUGCGGCGGAUUAGCUUGUUGGUGAGGUAACGGCUCACCAAGGCGACGAUCCGUAGCUGGUCUGAGAGGACGAUCAGCCACACUGGGACUGAGACACGGCCCAGACUCCUACGGGAGGCAGCAGUGGGGAAUCUUGCGCAAUGGGCGAAAGCCUGACGCAGCGACGCCGCGUGAGGGAAGAAGGCCUUCGGGUUGUAAACCUCUUUCAGGAGGGACGAAGCUACUCGGGUUAAUAGCCCAGAGGGUGACGGUACCUCCAGAAGAAGCCCCGGCUAACUACGUGCCAGCAGCCGCGGUAAUAC
This 531-nucleotide ribosomal RNA is filed under the name uncultured bacterium. Its description in RNAcentral is "bacterial SSU rRNA". It matches the Rfam family "Bacterial small subunit ribosomal RNA", at positions 8 to 526 of the family's 1533-position model. The record is from RNAcentral.